GGUGGAGAAAAAAAAAUCCUUUUCUUUCCUUUCCCUUCCCACCCAGGCAACGCGACCUUCCUCCCUCUCGUUGCCUCUCCUCCCCAUCUUCUCCGCCGCCGCCCCUUGGCAGCAAGACCGCAAAGGCGCGGUGGGCGGUGCCCCUCCCCUGCUGAUCCGCCGGUCGGGUUCUCGGGCAAGGGGGGUAUGGUCGGUAGCAGCGCCAGGGUCGGCUGGUCGUCGGGCGGCAAGGGCGUCGCCAAGCAGUACUACCUCCAGGGCAGGAACCCAGAGGCCGUGCCCCCGGACGACGGCCGCCUCACCAGAGGAAGCUACUGGAGGAGGCCGACGAGGGCACCUUGGCCCCAUCUUUGCAGCAGCGGCCCAGCGCGGCAGCUCCAGCUGCAGAUCGUCGGCCCGGCGUGGCGGCUCCCGCUGCAGCUCGGAGGACCGGCGGGUCCCGUAGCUUCCGCUGCAACUCGGAGCUGCAGAUGGUGCGCUCGUUGCUGCAGCUCGUACUGCUUCAAUCAUGGAGUUGAUGGCUAGGUGGCCGGCGGUGGAUCUGCCUCAAGCAACAGAAUCAAUCUAUGAUUUGUGAGUACCUGGUUCCGUUGGGUAAAGCCAUGUAAAGAAAGUAGAUAUGAUUUGUUCCCUGUUAAUUAGUUGCUUCGGUUGGACAGGGCCUUGUAAAGAGAAAAGAUUUGUACGGUAUCAAAUUGUAAAUUAGCCACAGGGGCAACUGUGCCUUUUUGCAUGAAGAGAAAAGGGAUAGAAAUUCGAAAAUGAUUACAGUAAUUGAAAAGGGCAAAUCAUCAAGAGUAAAAUAAAAAUGGGGCAAAUGUUCUAAUCCUAUGUAAAGUGGGGCAAAUCAUCUAAUGCCCAAGUAAAGUGGGGCAUAUCAUCCAAUCUCCCUCUCUCUGGGAGGCAGGUAGAAAUAGAGAGGGAAAUGAAGGAUUGAGAGGGAUGUGGUUGGACCGAGAGGGAAGACGGGAUGACAUAAAGGAGACAACGAAAGAAGAACACACGUCCCUUCUACCUGUCGUUGCUUGAGUGUCGAUUGAGUCUGAAUCUCCCUUUUCUUGCCUACAAAUCCUGUAACGUAGUUCCCUUCUAUCCCUGUAAUCUUACUCAAAACUGAAUUCCUGUAACCUCUGCUGCUCUGUCUGAAUUUUCUGAACAUUUGCUUCUCCUCUUUUGAUUCAGUUCAUACUACUGUUAGUGCCGCUCAUAAUUUUGGUAGAAAUCCUUUCUUUUUAGUUUAACUGUACCUUCUGUUUACUUCCUUCUACUGUGUGAAUCCAGUUCCUAAUUGUUUGGUCAAUCUGUUCAUUCAGUUAUAGUUUUAAAAAAAGUGUCAUGUUUAUUGUGUUCCUACAUGCACUUGUUCUGAACCUUACCUACUGCUGUUUUAUUUUAAAUUUUUUCAGUUUUGUCAGAGUUCUGUUUCGAUUGGCUGAGAAAUUGCAAGAUCUGCAUCUUCCUAUGCUUGCCUUUAAUUUCCUUGUUGCUUAUUCCACUAGCUACAGAAAUAGUUUUGCAUUUGUAGGAGAGAUCUUUCACCCUGUUUCAGAGUAGCUUGGCUUUAGGAAAUUGCAUUGCAUUUGUACUUAAAUCCCUGUGGAGAACUUCGACAUACUGUACUCUUCAGCGACCAAUAGCACAACUACAUAUCUGUAUUGUAAUCAAAAGGGUUUUCAAAUAAUAUGUAUUUCGCAUAAAAUUGCUUCAAACAUUUUGAAUUGCUCAUUUACUAAUAAUAGGCGAAAAGGGACUUCAUGUUUGGACAUUCCCAACAUCCAACUAGGGACUCGGCUUCCUCAUCGGCAUCACGGCGGUCGUCCUCGACUUCGGCCUCAACGGGGACAGGCUCAAGAACAUCGUCGUGCACAAGGUCAUCGGCUUCUCCAUCCUGUCCAUGGCAUGCCUCCAGAAUGGCAUGUGCUGUAUGGGAACACAAGCCUGGAAAACUCCUCUCCCGAUGCGGAGCAGUCCACGGCGCUGUCAUCGUCGUCCUGACUCCUUGGCCGCUGCCGCUCCCAAGCGAGAAGACAAGCUUGGCUUGUGGCGGUGGCGGGUAUUACUGGAGUGGAGGCACAUUUUGUUUUCCGUUCUCGUCAUUCUUGGAAAGGCACAACAUGUACGAGGAGGAAGCCAUGAGAACUACCAGAGUGGAGAUGGGGAUGCGCGGCGAGCUGUGGGACGACUCGGCGCUGGUCGACUGCUUGGACCACGCCGUGCCACCUACAAGGCAUGCCGCAGGAAGGAUGGUAUGGAACUGACAGAUGAUCAGGUUAUGGUUGGUUGCGUCUAGAUGUGGUGAAUGGGUUUCCUGGAACCAAUAGAUGGAGCGGUGCUAGGACUGGAACCAAAUGAUAGUGAAGGACUACAACCAGUAUGUCAUGAGCAAUCUAGCACGAGGUUACUCAUGGAAAGAUACGGGUGUGAGCUAUGUUAAGGACAAACAAUUGCAACUGAAUAUGAAGAUAAAUAAACUUCAGCGAGACUGUGAAGGUACAACAAGAAGAGGCAACAAGCCAUGGAGGUUCUCAGUGCAAAUCAUACUUGCGAGCAAUCUACAGAUCUAGGCCUGAUGAUUAUCAGUUGUGUUGAGAUCCUUGUGUGCUAUGUAGUUGCAAAUGGUUGCAAAGACGGCUGGGAUAGACCAUGAAGAGUGGCUUGCGAAUGCGGAUCGCUGGGUGGCUAACUUCUUGGAGAAGUUCGCGGAGCACUGCCUUGUGAUGGAGACUGCCAUCAAGGACCGGAUACGGAGAGCGAAAUGCAGUGGGGUGCCAUUGGUAGUGGUGGUGGUGGUGUGAACAAACACCGAGCAAGUGACAAGUUGUUAUAGUUGUGCUUGUGUCAUGGAAUGUGAUGCUUGUGCGAGUUAAGUGGGUGAGUUAGCUGAGCCAAACCUUUGUAUUAGGGUCGCACUAACUGCCACCGUGUGGCAGAAAGGGAGACGCACCACACGUCUUUAAUGUAAAUAGAUUACCAUGUCA
Triticum aestivum (bread wheat) is the source of this 2978-nucleotide RNA transcript. RefSeq lists it as uncharacterized. The record is from RefSeq and is a predicted model, not a curated record. The transcript is spliced from 8 exons. Lineage: Eukaryota; Viridiplantae; Streptophyta; Magnoliopsida; Poales; Poaceae.